AUAAAAUUAAAGGGCUGCAGUAAUUUGACUGUACAAAGGUAGCAUAAUCAUUAGUCAUUUAAUUGAUGACUUGUAUGAAAGAUUGGAUGAAAUAUAGACUGUCUCUUAAUUAUAUAAUAGAAUUUAAUUUUUUAAUUAAAAAGUUAAAAUAAUUUAAAAAGACGAGAAGACCCUAUAGAGUUUUAUAAUUUUUUUAUUUAAAAUUUUUUGAUUUACAUAAAAUUAAUAUUAAAAAAAUUAUUUUGUUGGGGUGACAGAAAAAUAAAUAAAACUUUUUUUAUAAUUAAACAUAUAUAAGUGAGUAUUUGAUCCAAUAAUAUUGAUUAUAAGAAAAAAUUACCUUAGGGAUAACAGCGUAAUUUUUUUUUUUAGUUCGUAUAAAAAAAAGAGUUUGCGACCUCGAUGUUGGAUUAAGAUAAAAUUUAAAUGCAGAAG
Molecule: ribosomal RNA, 435 nt
Filed under: Mythimna pudorina
Lineage: Eukaryota; Metazoa; Arthropoda; Insecta; Lepidoptera; Noctuidae
Description: partial 16S large subunit ribosomal RNA
Source: RNAcentral